UGAUGUGGCCAAACCUACUUGACAAAGCCUGAUCUUGUCACAUCUCAGAAGCUACGCAGGGCUGGGCCUGGUUAGGAGUUGGAUGGGAGACUACUGGGAAUACCAGGAGCUACAGUGG
Molecule: ribosomal RNA, 118 nt
Filed under: Periophthalmus magnuspinnatus
Lineage: Eukaryota; Metazoa; Chordata; Actinopteri; Gobiiformes; Gobiidae
Source: RNAcentral